RNAcentral lists this ribosomal RNA (254 nucleotides) under uncultured bacterium. RNAcentral describes it as "partial 16S ribosomal RNA". It matches the Rfam family "Bacterial small subunit ribosomal RNA", at positions 524 to 776 of the family's 1533-position model. The record is from RNAcentral.
UACGGGGGGUGCGAGCGUUGUCCGGAAUCACUGGCGUAAAGGGCGCGUAGGUGGUUUGAUAAGGGUGUGGUGAAAGUCCGGGGCUCGAACCCCGGAUCUGCCGUGCCGACUGUCAAACUCGAGGGCUGUAGAGGCAGACGGAAUUCCGGGUGUAGCGGUGGAAUGCGUAGAGAUCCGGAAGAACACCGGUGGCGAAGGCGGCCUGCUGGGCAGUAGCUGGACGCUGAUGCGCGACAGCGUGGGGAGCAAACAGG